RNAcentral lists this long non-coding RNA (1295 nucleotides) under Ursus maritimus (polar bear). RNAcentral's name for it is "lncRNA (ENSUMAG00000003699.1)". The record is from RNAcentral. Lineage: Eukaryota; Metazoa; Chordata; Mammalia; Carnivora; Ursidae.
CCUGGGUCUUGGGGAAAUAAAGGAAGAGCAACCAAAUGAGAAGAGCAAAGGCUGUUUAUUCAAAGCUUGCUACAGCAAGGGAGUCAGUCAGCCGUGGUCACUUGUUUUCAAAGAGACUCAAGGGCAGGCAGAGGGGUGGGUAAGUUUUCUUUAUAGCAGGAAAAAGGACAGGAUUCCGAUGUGCCUUCUCUGGAGGCUGUCGACGGCGUGGGGAAGCUGUAAGGCGGGUCCCUAGAAGCUGGGUGUCCUGUGUGACUGGCCAGGGGCGCGGAUUUGACUUUCUCUGGUUGGCCCUAAGUUGCAGUAUGGACAAAACUUAGGGAAGUUGUCAGUGCUGGCCACUUCGAGCCAAUUGUUCCAGAAAGUUAGUGUUUCGCUUUCUGAAUUGUUACUAGACAUAGUCUGCUUACAAAUGUGACCUAUGGAUCGCCUGGGUGUUUUCUUGUUGAUGACGAGUUGGUUUGCGGGUCGGAGUUCUGUUUUUCCACGUGCUCUGGCCACUGCCUGGGUGUCAAUCCCUUAGUCUACGGUGCAGAUCAGUCUCUCCGUGGCUCCUCCUUCCUUCCCUUCAACAUGCGAACAUCCCGCGGCGGUCGAAUCGUCACGUAUCUGAUUUCCCUCAUUCAGCCCCUCUCCGGCCCAGGCCUUCGCUGCGCGAAGAAUCACGGGAGGAGAAAACUGAGGAGCUACGUGGCACAGCCUCUGUCCCUGGAGUCUGCACCGACCACUGUCAACAAGCAGGGCCACGGCUCCCUCCACCGAGCCCGGAGCCACCCAGCGCUCCCGGCGAGGGGCCGGCCCCGAACGGGGCUCCUCGCCUUUCUGGACGCUCUCCCCAGAAAAACAUGCCCCCGCACACACGCCGACUCCCCCGCAGGAAAUUCAGGUACCCCCACGGGCCUUUCCACGGCAAGUGGGCGAUGGGGGAGGACUUCGGGGGUGAAUGUUUCAGCCAGGGGAUAUUCUCUAGUCUGGAACAAAAGGUCAACAAGAAGUCAAAAGACUUUGAAUUCUAAAAGACUUACUUUAUUGAGAGUUGACAUACAAUUCCGUAGCUACUUUUAUUUACUUUACAGAAAGCAGCUUCUCCGGGACGCCUGGGUGGCGCAGUCGGUCAAGUGUCUGCCUUCGGCUCAGGUCUGGAUCCUGGGGUCCUGAGAUCGAGUCUCCCGUCAGGUUCCCUGCUCGCAGGGAGUCUGCUUCUCCCUCCCCCUCUGCUCCUCCACCCCCCCCACUUGUGCUGUGUCUGUCUCUCAUAUAAAUAAAGUCUUUUUUUAAAAAGAUUUUUUAAUUCA